This 3150-nucleotide unclassified non-coding RNA is filed under the name Leishmania donovani. RNAcentral describes it as "gene:LdHU3.19.0810(CDS-product:Methyltransferase_ domain_containing_protein_putative)". Lineage: Eukaryota; Euglenozoa; Kinetoplastea; Trypanosomatida; Trypanosomatidae. The record is from RNAcentral.
CCCCUGCUUCCUCCAUCGCUCCGUAUCAACCACUCCUUCACCGAUCAGCCAUCGCGCAGGGCUUUCCUUUACCCUUGUGUUGAAAGGGAAGCGAGGCAAGUUCAGAGAGACAGGGAGAGAGUCAAACCAACAUUCGCCUGCCUUAUCGCGCCUUUACUGCUUACUUCGUUGCCGCUGCCGUUUUUGCUUGUUCUUGAUGUGUAGCGUUGCUCAUCUUCACAUACAUGAGCGGCUGUGUGUUUCCUGCACCCCUCCCCUCCGUCUUUCCACCCCUUGUACCGCUCUCCUCUUGUUGGAAUCAACUUCGUUGUGCCUCCAUCUCUAUCCACUUUGGCCCGCCUGGUGAGCUGCUCUCCUGGAGCCUGUUCUGCCACGCUUCUGGCGACGGAAUCGGUUUUUUUUAUGUUGUUUCUCGCUCUCUCGCUUCACCUUCACCCCUCAUCUUAAGUGCCAUGGGCUUGGCGCCUGUGAGCAGCGGGAGAGGUGUCUGCACGAUCUACGUUAUGGGUGUCUGCGGCAUCGCGCUAUUCGCCGCGGUCGCUUCCGGGCUCGUUGCAUCGGCAACGAUCACUUGCGUUCGUCCACGAACACUCCCCCACUCCACUGCUCUGCUCAGCCGAUGCCCUCUCCCCUCGUGCUGACCCGCGCCGCUCCGGCGCGCGGCCUCAACGUCAAAAUGUUUGACCGUAAGGUGAAGGGGCUGCAACGGAGCUUCGUCUCAUCUCCCGCCUGUGAUAUUCACAAGCUGUGCGCACAGCAGAUGCUGGAUCGGCGCGCCUUUGUGAAGCGCGACACGCCAGUGGUGCUAGAAGUGGGGGCGCACACGGGAUGGUAUCUGCGGCACAUGAUUGAGCGUAAGGAGCUUCACGGCCUCAAGCAGUACAUACAGACGGACAUCUCCGAGGAUAGGCUGAACCGCAACUACGAAGAAAUCAAGGACAUCAUCCCACCAGAAGUCGAGUUUGUUCAAAUCUGCUGCGACGAGGAGCAGCCCUCGCCGUUCGGUAUCCCGGACAAGUCGGUGGACAUGGUCGUGUCGUGUCUCUCCAUGCACUGGGUGAAUGAUCUGGAGACGUCAAUGGUCAACGUGCGCAAGGUGCUCAAGCGCGACGGCUUCUUCUUGAACGCCAUGUUCGGCGGCAACACCCUCUACGAGCUGCGAGGGUGCUUCUCCAUGGCGCAGACGGAGACCCUCGGUGGCGUUUCGCCGCACGUCUCUCCAAUGAUCGACGGCGCCGGUCUGUCGACGCUCGUGCUGCAGGCAGGCUUUAACAUCCCUACGAUCGACCUGGAUCGGCACCUGCUGUUGUACGAGACCCCGUUCCACUUGAUGGAGCACCUGGCGGUGAUGGGGGAGAGCGCGUGUCAUUACAUGCGUCAGCCCAUGAAGCGCGACGUCCUGCUCUGCGCCUGUGCCAUUUACGACACCAUGUACAAGCAGAACGGCCUCAUCCCCGCCACCUUCGAGGUGUUUCACACAAUUGCCUGGAGUCCCAGCCCGACACAAGCGAAGCCGCUAGCGCGCGGCAGUGGGCAAAUCCCGCUGUCCUCGUGGAACUCGAAGAGUCGGAAGCAGCUGCAGUCCGUGCUGGACGAGUACGCGCUGAACCCCAACGAUGAGGUGCUGCAGAACAAAGCCGAGGACAUCUUCAAGAAACUGCGCGAGGAGAGUGCCGAGCUCAUGGCGAAGAAAGGGCUCGACUCGCGCGGGUUCGAGCGCGACCGCGACGAGGAGGCGCGCCGGCUCGAUGAGAAGCCGGUGCCGCCCUUUCAAUAGUGGCGAUCGAGUGUAACGGCGAGCACUUCGUUACCCAAGCGCUCGAUGCUGUGGCAAGAAUGGGACGUGCUCGCCUCUUUCGCCUCCCUCCUCCCCGCACCCCUCUCGCUUGCUUUAGCCGGCUGGCGGGCUGUGGAGGAGCGCCAGCAAGAGAAACGACGCGAAGAGGAGAUGUAUGAAAGCAACGGUCGGCACGCAAGGAUGCAAAACACGUCCGCCACAGACGAAGAUGCAAGCGAAAUGGAGAUGAUCGAGCGCGAAAAGGAAGUGCGAUGAAGACGCAGAGGGGCAUCAUCGUCGGACAUCGGGCAAAGAGGUUUUUCAGGGGUGUAGCCGUUUCUUGUCGGCACCUCCUGGUGCGGGGACUCAGGUGGGCUCGGAUCGAUGGCGCGUGCUUGCCGUACCUCACCUUUCUACGCACCAGCCACGGCGACGUGAGAUGCGCCUCUCUGUCCGCGCUUUCCACCUCGAGUGCCGAGCUGCUUUGCCUCUUCUCUCCUGCCCCUCCCUCAUCUCUCAUCUCUUGUUGUGUUUGUGUGUGUGUGUGUGUGCCCUCGACCACUGCCCCAAAAUGGCCACAACUCGUUGGCCAGCGCGCUUUCUCGAGCGCUUUCACGUUUGAGUCCCCUCCUCUACAUCUCGGGCGUACAGGCACUGGCGCUCAGCAGCAGCAGGCCGCUGCCGCUGCCUCGUCUGGGGGGUUAGGAGGACAAAGCAGGGGUAGCGGCGUCUGCACACCACACGGAAGCACGAAAACGACGAGGACGUGCGAUUCCCCUGAAGCCCACAGCCGAGAGGCGUGUCAAACAGCCGAGCGUCAAGGUGUGCCCCCGCUUUCCUACGAGGGUGAUGAUGGCCUCAACGCUUCGACGGUGGUGUUUCCCCAGCGCGCAGGCGCGGCGGUUAGCAAAAAGAAUGCGACAGCAAAGCGGCCGCCAGCCCUGCAUGCGGUGUAUUGCAACGGCGGCGGACGACGGUAGCGAUGACGCGAAUGUUGACGCCUCGCCUGCAGCAGCUUCGGUGGCGGCGGCAGGUCUCAAGUGACGGGAGGGUGGAGGCGGGGGUACUAGUGAGGUGCCUCGCGUCCAGCAGGCCCGCAAGCCGCGCGCCGCUACUGCUGCGCAGCGCAAGCAUCGAAGCUCAGUGCGGAAUGCUAAGUGCCAGGGCAGCGGGGUCUCGACUCCCGUCGUGGUCGCAAGUGGGCGACUGUUCCUGUCGAUGCUUGUCUCUGCCUACAUGACGCUGGUGGGCAUGAUGGGCAACCCCAGCCACUAGGCCACACGUGCGUUGUGGCAAGUUUUUUUUCUGUCUUCUCUUCCUCUUCUCGAUGGUUGUACCUGUGGCGGGAAUGCUCGGCGCAGGUGUCUACGUGU